Neopelma chrysocephalum (saffron-crested tyrant-manakin) is the source of this 2202-nucleotide long non-coding RNA. RefSeq lists it as uncharacterized. The transcript has 3 exons. Lineage: Eukaryota; Metazoa; Chordata; Aves; Passeriformes; Pipridae. The record is from RefSeq and is a predicted model, not a curated record.
GUGGGAGAAGAGGGGGAACACAACAGACCCCUUCACAUUCAUAUCGCUCAUGGGGGUGAAGCAAGAACAGCAAUCCACAGUUUAACACUCUCCCUGCUAGAUCAGAAGAGGCCUCUUUGGGAGACCCAUGCCAGGAGCUUGUUUGCAAGUUAAACAGAUUCCAGGGCUGGGUGUAAGCACUGCUAAGAACACAGUCACUAAGCUGCCAGCUUUGGGUCGCCUUUGGUGAUCUAGAUGGCCACCCCUGACCCUCUAAAACCCCUGGGAUUCCAGAGAGUGAGCAGGCUUUAUGUACUUAUCCAUUCCCAUCACAACAAUAGCCAAAUGAUUCCAGAGUUACAGGCUCAAGGGAUGACACAGACAGAACUAAUCAUAAUUUGGGGCCUGAAGGUAGGUUAAACAACUUCUUUUAUCAUUUCAUGCCUUAUCCUCCCAAAUAGAAAUUAAGAAAUACAUUCAAAAAACCCAGAAAAGUAAAUUGAAAAUUAAUUUUUAUGGGGAUCUGAAUAAGUCAGAAAUUUGGUCAACAUCCGGAAUACUUUCUGGAAUAUAAGGGAGAAAAGAGUUUGGAAAUAAAGAAAAUGGAUGGGAUUUAUCCUUUUUUCAAAAUGGCAGUUUUUUUUCUUUUAAACUGAAAGCAGAGGACUGGAUUAACCCCUGAGCAGCAUUUUCCUGAAAUUCAGGAAAAUCUGGCAGUACCUUUGCUUCUCUCUCGAUAUGUUUUCUUCUUUAAAAAAAAAAAAAAGGAUUAUUUGUCUUUCAUUUCCUCUAUUUCCUCAGACCAUCAUCUCAUUUUAGGAGAUAGGAUUUCUGGAACGGAGAGCACACAACAUGUUCACAACAUCCUCCACAUUUUCAAACCUAAGAGUCACUGAUAUAUCUCUUUAGGGGUAAGACCCCACAGAAAUUGCACGCAAAGACAGGUCCAAUGAGGUGCAAGACUUCAGCCGCUGCUCUACACAGACUUUGUCAUGUGAUUUCAGGCAGAAACUGGGCUUUAGUCUAUAAGGGCACAGUAUUGUGGCUUUUCAGCACAGCCAGGAAUGUCCAAGCUAUCUGCCUGUUAUCCUGUAUGUUGGGUAUGAUCUGGGGCAAACUAAAUGGUCCUGCAUGGACCAGAAGACUGGUUCAUAACGGUGGUCCAUUUUCCUGAAUACAACUGGCUGAAGCUUGUGCACUGGAAUUCUGAGCCCAAACUCAAGUGCUUCAAGUGCAAGGGCAACAGUCCUGUGGAAGGCAACAUCACUACAGUGUUAUAUGCACUCAAAUGGCAGCAUGUUGACUCUGCAGUAAUAACUCAUUUAAAUGAAUAUGUGGGUAGAUAUGUUUUCAUUGAUCAAGCAUAUGACGUGGAGAACAAGCAGCCUUGAAAACAUCUAGACAAGCCUGGAAGAGUGCAGCUGUUAGCAUUGCAAACUACAUUAUCACCAUAUAUUUAGAUUGUUAUUAAGUGAACUUUAAGUAAGGCAUCCUCCAUUUGUCAUUUUCCCCCCCUGGUGAAUUCAGCUACCAACAUUGAUUUACUUUUUUUUUUUAAUCUGAAAAUUUGGCUAUUAACUUUUCAAAACUUAUUAAUCUGUUUUCACUUCAUUGGUAGCAGCUUCCCCCCACCUUCUACUUAGCUUGUUAAAACUCAGAGUUGAUUAAAUAUGACACAACAGUAAAAUAUUACAUAAGCUCACAAGAAAAUUUUUAUUUCAUUAUCGGCACAAAGUGAGUCAUCUUGAAUAUGACACUGGCUUUGGCUCCAUUUUCUCUCACUUUUUUGCUCUGGUUUUAUAUUUAAUCACAGCUUUUUUCUCCCUCUCUUUGCUUGUACGAUUUUGUUUUUUAGAUCCACAGCAGAACGAUCCAACUUUGUUCUUACACUAUUAAUUAACACCACGCUCUAGUUUCCAACAUACUUAAAUGAUGAAUAAGGUUAAAUUCCAGACAACGUUCUGUACAUUGCCAUCAAUUAACAAUUUUCGAGGCAGCGCUUCAUUAAUAAACACUGAUCAGCAGAGCCCUUGUGUGGAGUGCAUUGGAGCUGAGAAAUUGUAUCAGAGCUUCUUUAAUAUGUGAGCUGGAGUGUGUGGUGUGUAUGAGCCCGUGCACAAGUGUGUAUGUGUGCGUGUGUGAAAAAAAAUCAAUGCAAUAUCCUAGGAAACUCAUCAGCACAUCAUCUCCUUAAAGGUUAAUUAAGAAUUUGAGGAAGAACAG